AAUAGGACAAACUAUAAAAAGAUGUUCAGGGGAGGAAGCACCCCCACCCCCAAGGCAGGCCCAUCCUGAAGGAUUUGGUGGAGGGGGAAAGUCCCUUAAAGACUGUGGGAAAAGGGAGCCUAAAAACAUGAGAGUUGGAGUUUGAUCCUUCAGACUGGAAGGCUGAUCCAGGAGACAGGAUCAGACGUGCCCAAAGGAGUAUUUGGAGUGAACUAGAUUCACCAGAGAGAAACAGAAGAAGAAAAAUGGAGAGGUGUGUCCGAGGUUCCCAAGGCCAUCUCUAGGAUCUAUGAGGAUGACUCACAAGACUCAGCAAAGGGUCAAAGUCACAGCAAUGAUUUACUGGCACAAAAGGAUGCAGAACAAAGUGGGCAUGGGGAGAUGUCUGAAGGAAGACAAACAGGAGUUUCCGGGAAUCCUCCUGGAAAUUAGCCGAAUGUUCUUAACUCCUCCACCUCCAAACUACGACAACCAGGUCAAAUGUUGCUUGGUAGAGCCAGAGUCCCAUUAGACACUCAGUGCCCAGAGUUUUAUUGAUGACUUGUCACAUAAGUGCCCUCUCCCUAGCAAGUAUGAAAUUCCAGACUUCAGGAAGGAAAGCAGGUGUCCGGCAGAAAACACUGUUUGCACAAAGACUUCAAGAACAUUGAGCAACUCCUCAGUUAGGGAAUGGUGGAGACUUAUGUUGAGUCCAACUUCUCUUAUGCCAGCCAAGCUUUCAAGCAGGCCUCUCCAAGGAUAGCAAUUGCAGACCCGCGGGGUUAAACCUUUUCUACACAAGGAGUUAGUAGGGGGUUGUCCUAGGAGGACUUUAGACAUGAACUCAAGGGGACUGGACUUCAUUCCCAAAAAAGACAAAAGACGAUGGUACUCCAGAAGGACACACAGAAAGAAAGAGCGAGCCAUCAGAAGUGAUAUGCCGGAUGCUGAAGUAAGGAUUCCUGGAGGGAAGAUUCCAGAAAGAUAAGUCAUCAGCUAAGGCUAGAGGGGAGUGGUUCACGUGGAGAUAGUUGUUCAUGCUUAGCAGUUUCCCAGGAGAAGGAGAGCUCAGAGGGAUACUGGGCCUAGAGGAGAACGAGGUUACCCAACAGAAACCACGGAGGGAGAAACUUAGAAUUGCACAUUCCCAGGGGCCCCAAGUACCAGACACUUGGCCCUGGGGAUUGUCCACUGCAGAAUGUCAUCGUGUGCAUUCCAUGUGAGCAACUGUGGAGACAGGAAUGGGACUUCAGGCCAGCCGGUUGCACUGAUGAUAAGUCACUCUUAUCACCUGGCCCCUUGGUAUUUACUUAGAGUUUGUGGGCACAUUCUAAGAACAUGUAGGCCGCUGGCCAGCUCCCAGAGCUUAGAAGCACCAGGGCCAGAUCUGAGCUGGAGGUUAUAGCAGAAGCAAAGGGGGCUUCCAGAACUUAUUUCCGGAAAAGAGUCCUUAUUUGAAAAUACCAGUUCUUCUACUUUUAUGCAAGACUCUCUCUUUGGUGGGUCUCUGGAAUGCUCACCUCUUACAUCAGCUAAAGCUUUGUGAUUCCCAGAGGAGUCCAUCUACUCUCCCACAGUUCC
This 1560-nucleotide long non-coding RNA is filed under the name Marmota monax (woodchuck). Lineage: Eukaryota; Metazoa; Chordata; Mammalia; Rodentia; Sciuridae. The record is from RNAcentral.